RNAcentral lists this ribosomal RNA (449 nucleotides) under uncultured bacterium. RNAcentral's name for it is "partial 16S ribosomal RNA". It matches the Rfam family "Bacterial small subunit ribosomal RNA", at positions 29 to 523 of the family's 1533-position model. The record is from RNAcentral.
AACGAACGCUGGCGGCAGGCUUAACACAUGCAAGUCGAACGCAUCCUUCGGGGUGAGUGGCAGACGGGUGAGUAACGCGUGGGAACGUGCCCUUCAGUUCGGGAUAACCCAGGGAAACUUGGGCUAAUACCGGAUACGUGCGAGAGCAGAAAGAUUUAUCGCUGAAGGAUCGGCCCGCGUCUGAUUAGCUAGUUGGUGGGGUAAUGGCCCACCAAGGCGACGAUCAGUAGCUGGUCUGAGAGGAUGAUCAGCCACACUGGGACUGAGACACGGCCCAGACUCCUACGGGAGGCAGCAGUGGGGAAUAUUGGACAAUGGGCGCAAGCCUGAUCCAGCCAUGCCGCGUGAGUGAUGAAGGCCUUAGGGUUGUAAAGCCCUUUCAGUGGGGACGAUAAUGACGGUACCCGCAGAAGAAGCCCCGGCUAACUUCGUGCCAGCAGCCGCCGCUG